AACGCACCUUGCACUCCUUGGUAUUCCGAGGAGUAUGCCUGUUUGAGUGUCAUGAAAUUAUCAACUUCAUAGUUUUAUUACUUUGAAGCUUGGAUUUGGAAGCUUGCUGGCUCUCUAGUCAGCUCUUCUUAAAUGUAUUAGCUGCUUGUCCGUGGGUUGGCUCAGAGUGUGAUAAGUAUCUACACUUGGUGGCUGCUUGCUUGGAUGUGGCUUCUAAUCGUCUUCGGACAACUCUUUAAGAUCUGACCUCAAAUCAGGUAGGACUACCCGCUGAACUUAA
This 280-nucleotide unclassified non-coding RNA is filed under the name uncultured fungus. Its description in RNAcentral is "partial contains 5.8S ribosomal RNA, internal transcribed spacer 2, and large subunit ribosomal RNA". The stretch from base 1 to 52 matches the Rfam family "5.8S ribosomal RNA", at positions 103 to 154 of the family's 154-position model. Lineage: Eukaryota; Fungi. The record is from RNAcentral. RNAcentral also lists the same sequence under 1 other name.